GCGUCGGUAGUGCAACAUCCCAGCAUGCGCUCCCGAAAAGAGUGAGAUCCGGGUUCGAAUCCCAGCUGACGCA
This is a non-coding RNA of Parelaphostrongylus tenuis, 73 nucleotides long. Lineage: Eukaryota; Metazoa; Nematoda; Chromadorea; Rhabditida; Metastrongylidae. The record is from the annotation of a GenBank genome assembly.